GCUUUUUCCGAAUCCUGCCAAGGACAUGGUCUGCCUGUUGGUAAGAAUAAUUUUAAUUUAUUAGGUUGAAUGGA
Molecule: non-coding RNA, 74 nt
Organism: Pangasianodon gigas (Mekong giant catfish)
Lineage: Eukaryota; Metazoa; Chordata; Actinopteri; Siluriformes; Pangasiidae
Source: the annotation of a GenBank genome assembly